RNAcentral lists this ribosomal RNA (255 nucleotides) under uncultured prokaryote. RNAcentral's name for it is "partial 16S ribosomal RNA". It matches the Rfam family "Bacterial small subunit ribosomal RNA", at positions 521 to 775 of the family's 1533-position model. The record is from RNAcentral.
UAAUACAGAGGUCUCAAGCGUUGUUCGGAUUCAUUGGGCGUAAAGGGUGCGUAGGCGGCGCGGUAAGUCGGGUGUGAAAUUUCGAGGCUUAACUUCGAAACUGCAUUCGAUACUGCCGUGCUCGAGGACUGGAGAGGAGACUGGAAUUUACGGUGUAGCGGUGAAAUGCGUAGAUAUCGUAAGGAAGACCAGUGGCGAAGGCGGGUCUCUGGACAGUUCCUGACGCUGAGGCACGAAGGCCAGGGGAGCAAACGG